Molecule: long non-coding RNA, 484 nt
Filed under: Heterocephalus glaber (naked mole-rat)
Lineage: Eukaryota; Metazoa; Chordata; Mammalia; Rodentia; Bathyergidae
Description: lncRNA (ENSHGLG00000035004.1)
Source: RNAcentral
GAGGGAUGGCACGGGCAAGAAGCUGGCACUUAUUGAGCACUCACUGUAUGUCCAGCACUUUGCCAACACUUAAUCUGCAUUAUCUCCCUCAGCCCCCCCCGCAUGAUGUGGAAGUAGAGAUGAUCUCGUUUAUUGCUAGGAUUCAGAACACUGACCCAUUUGUUCCAGCAAGCUGCAGCCAGGAAGCCGCCUUCAGCUCUGCCAGCAGAGAAAGAGGGAAGGAAGGGGUGUAGAUGGUGUGACCCUCACGGGCGGAACCCUGGAGGAUGUCGUACAUCCCAGAAAACCCACUACACCUCCGCCUCAUAGAGAGGAAGUUGAAAACGCAUCGAUCUCUGUGACCAAGGUUAGCCAAGCAGCAGUUCGCUGUACGAAUAAAUGUCUGGAAGCUCAUGGCCACCACUCUGAGCACCUCUUGUAAUGGUAGAGGCCAAAGGUAACUUGUAUUAACCUCAUGAUGGCUCAAUAAAUUUCAUAUUAAAAC